RNAcentral lists this ribosomal RNA (463 nucleotides) under uncultured bacterium. RNAcentral's name for it is "bacterial SSU rRNA". It matches the Rfam family "Bacterial small subunit ribosomal RNA", at positions 37 to 506 of the family's 1533-position model. The record is from RNAcentral.
UGGCGGCGUGGAUUAGGCAUGCAAGUCGGACGAGAAAGCCACCUUCGGGUGGUGAGUACAGUGGCGGACGGGUGAGUAACGCGUAGAUAUCUGCCUUUAAGUUGGGGAUAACUCAGGGAAACCUGAACUAAUACCGAAUGUGGUUGCCAAACUAAAGGGGGCUUUGGCUCCCGCUUAGAGAUGAGUCUGCGUCCAAUUAGCUAGAUGGUGUGGUAAUGGCUCACCAUGGCGAUGAUUGGUAGNCGUCUUUAACGAGUGUCNCCCACACCGGGAUUGAGAUACGGCCCAGACUCCUACGGGAGGCAGCAGUGAGGAAUAUUGGACAAUGGAUGGAAAUCUGAUCCAGCCAUGCCGCGUGCAGGAAGACGGUCCUAUGGAUUGUAAACUGCUUUUAUAUGGGAGCAAUAAGAACUACGUGUAGUUCGAUGAGAGUACCAUAUGAAUAAGCACCGGCUAACUACGU